GACGAACGCUGGCGGCGUGCUUAACACAUGCAAGUCGAACGGAAAGGCCCUGCUUUUGUGGGGUGCUCGAGUGGCGAACGGGUGAGUAACACGUGAGUAACCUGCCCUUGACUUUGGGAUAACUUCAGGAAACUGGGGCUAAUACCGGAUAGGAGCUCCUGCUGCAUGGUGGGGGUGGGAAAGUUCGGCGGUUGGGGAUGGACUCGCGGCUUAUCAGCUUGUUGGUGGGGUAGUGGCUUACCAAGGCUUUGACGGGUAGCCGGCCUGAGAGGGUGACCGGCCACAUUGGGACUGAGAUACGGCCCAGACUCCUACGGGAGGCAGCAGUGGGGAAUAUUGCACAAUGGGCGGAAGCCUGAUGCAGCAACGCCGCGUGCGGGAUGACGGCCUUCGGGUUGUAAACCGCUUUCGCCUGUGACGAAGCGUGAGUGACGGUAAUGGGUAAAGAAGCACCGGCUAACUACGUG
RNAcentral lists this ribosomal RNA (467 nucleotides) under uncultured bacterium. RNAcentral describes it as "partial 16S ribosomal RNA". It matches the Rfam family "Bacterial small subunit ribosomal RNA", at positions 28 to 507 of the family's 1533-position model. The record is from RNAcentral.